RNAcentral lists this long non-coding RNA (291 nucleotides) under Malus domestica (apple). RNAcentral's name for it is "long non-coding RNA (MDOM_LNC000642)". The record is from RNAcentral. Lineage: Eukaryota; Viridiplantae; Streptophyta; Magnoliopsida; Rosales; Rosaceae.
AGGCAUCGUCGUUGUCUUGUGGCUAAGUAUUUAAUCUUUGAUUAUGUCAAAGUCACCCCAUUCGUGGAUGUCCACGGCAUAAUUGGGGUUAAGCCACUUAGUCAUGAAGGCAAGUGAAUGCGCAACAAGGAAUCUCUAAUCCUCGAUUAGAGAGGAAGAAUACUCUAACAUAUGAUUCGGGAAUCUUCGGCCGAAGUAUCGAGCGUAAUAAAGGAAAGCGUUCCUAUACAACUCAAUAGAAUCAUAUAAGAAGGAAUAAUCACAUUAGGGGUUUGACAUAAUAUAUCCAUA